AUCACCUCACGACAAGCGUUGUGUGUCAGUGGGCUCUGUAAAUUACAAAGCACUGUAUAAAUAGCAAGUUUGUUGAUUCCUCCAUGGCAGAAGUGAGAGAAGCCUGUUGAAGUGAGGAAGCUGGUCGGGAGACAGCCCAGGAGAUGCUCCUGUGGGGAACCAAAACACAGGGAGAAACUACCGCAGAAGAAAAGUCCUCAGAGAAUGGAACCUUGACCUACCGGUAGCCAAGAAGCUACCCAGCAGGUUAGGAACUGGCCACCAGGGGGUGCUGCUCCCCCAAUCUUCCUCGCACCGGACCUUCCCAUCUGCUGGCAAGAAACCAGGAUUUAGGAGUCCUAAGGAGCAACCACUCAAGACUUUGAGAAACUGCAAGGAAGGGAGAGAUGUUGGGCAACAGUGCGAGCUGAUCUCUGUCCCACCGGGAGGAAGGGCAGGAUGGAAGGGGAACUUAUAUCCACUUUCAAUUACCAAAACAGCACUGUGGAGGAGCUCUUGCUCCCAUUUCACAGAUGAGGAACUUAAGGCCAAAGGAUGGAUAAGAUCAGAAGAGGGACAAGCAAAAAGUUUCAUCUGAUUCCAAGGUCAGUCGCCAAGGUAUCACAAGUAGAUACCAGUUCAUUUUACUCUGUGGAGUCACUGGUGACCCUUCCCUGUUGACUUUGCAUUGAAUUAUGGCCACAAUUAUUUUCUUUGCUGGGCUGUCCCCACCCCACUCCCCAGUCUUUCCCCCCCCCCGCAGC
Molecule: long non-coding RNA, 743 nt
Filed under: Marmota monax (woodchuck)
Lineage: Eukaryota; Metazoa; Chordata; Mammalia; Rodentia; Sciuridae
Source: RNAcentral